GCUGCAAAUUUGAUUGGGAUUUCAUUGAUUUUGAUCUGUAUGCUCCGCUAGAAGGCACAUUCAAGUCAAAUGUGUUCAUGUGGUAUAAGCAUGUAAACUACAACAACUAUCCUGACACAGAGGAGGUGUCAUUUCGCUUCCGCUGUGGCUUUGCAGGCAAUGUGAGAAGUUGUGGUGUCCGCUUACUAUAUCUCCAAGAUGCAGAGGACGUACUUGGUUUCACUGGAACUGGCUGCUAACUUUUAUCAAAUCACUUUGAUUUAUGGUACACAAGUUGCAAUUUUUUCGGUGUGUUCUUCACAAGCCUAAUAAAAAUGGGGAGGCUUGGUGGAGAUCAAGAGUGGUUUCGAUGCUGAAUUACACCAGU
Molecule: long non-coding RNA, 367 nt
Organism: Morus notabilis
Lineage: Eukaryota; Viridiplantae; Streptophyta; Magnoliopsida; Rosales; Moraceae
Exons: 2
Source: RefSeq, a predicted model, not a curated record